UACGUAGGGUGCAAGCGUUGUCCGGAAUUAUUGGGCGUAAAGAGCUCGUAGGCGGUUUGUCGCGUCUGCUGUGAAAACGCGAGGCUCAACCUCGCGCCUGCAGUGGGUACGGGCAGACUAGAGUGCGGUAGGGGAGAUUGGAAUUCCUGGUGUAGCGGUGGAAUGCGCAGAUAUCAGGAGGAACACCGGUGGCGAAGGCGGUUCUCUGGGCCUGUACUGACGCUGAGGAGCGAAAGCGUGGGGAGCGAACAGG
This 253-nucleotide ribosomal RNA is filed under the name uncultured bacterium. RNAcentral's name for it is "partial 16S ribosomal RNA". It matches the Rfam family "Bacterial small subunit ribosomal RNA", at positions 524 to 776 of the family's 1533-position model. The record is from RNAcentral.